Molecule: ribosomal RNA, 599 nt
Filed under: uncultured bacterium
Lineage: Bacteria
Description: bacterial SSU rRNA
Rfam family: Bacterial small subunit ribosomal RNA (bases 1-519)
Source: RNAcentral
CCUACGGGAGGCAGCAGUGGGGAAUAUUGCACAAUGGGCGCAAGCCUGAUGCAGCGACGCCGCGUGAGGGAUGACGGCCUUCGGGUUGUAAACCUCUUUCAGUAGGGAAGAAGCGAAAGUGACGGUACCUGCAGAAGAAGCGCCGGCUAACUACGUGCCAGCAGCCGCGGUAAUACGUAGGGCGCAAGCGUUAUCCGGAAUUAUUGGGCGUAAAGAGCUCGUAGGCGGUUUGUCGCGUCUGCCGUGAAAGUCCGGGGCUCAACUCCGGAUCUGCGGUGGGUACGGGCAGACUAGAGUGAUGUAGGGGAGACUGGAAUUCCUGGUGUAGCGGUGAAAUGCGCAGAUAUCAGGAGGAACACCGAUGGCGAAGGCAGGUCUCUGGGGCAUUAACUGACGCUGAGGAGCGAAAGCAUGGGGAGCGAACAGGAUUAGAUACCCUGGUAGUCCAUGCCGUAAACGUUGGGCACUAGGUGUGGGGGUAGAUCUCGUUCGUCGCGUACGACUACGCAUAGUGCCGCCGUGGAGGUACGGCCGCGACGACGAAACUACGAAGAAGUAGACGCGNGAGACGNGCCGACGGACGACGACGAGGGAGGAGG